Molecule: ribosomal RNA, 253 nt
Filed under: uncultured bacterium
Lineage: Bacteria
Description: partial 16S ribosomal RNA
Rfam family: Bacterial small subunit ribosomal RNA
Source: RNAcentral
UACGGAGGGGGCUAGCGUUGUUCGGAAUUACUGGGCGUAAAGCGUGCGCAGGCGGUUCGUUGUGUCUGAUGUGAAAGCCCCGGGCUCAACCUGGGAAUGGCAUUGGAAACUGGCGAGCUAGAGUGUGGCAGAGGGGGGUGGAAUUCCGCGUGUAGCAGUGAAAUGCGUAGAGAUGCGGAGGAACACCGAUGGCGAAGGCAGCCCCCUGGGCUGACACUGACGCUCAGGCACGAAAGCGUGGGGAGCAAACAGG